RNAcentral lists this ribosomal RNA (445 nucleotides) under uncultured bacterium. Its description in RNAcentral is "partial 16S ribosomal RNA". It matches the Rfam family "Bacterial small subunit ribosomal RNA", at positions 354 to 796 of the family's 1533-position model. The record is from RNAcentral.
GUGAGGAAUAUUGGUCAAUGGGCGAAAGCCUGAACCAGCCAUGUCGCGUGAAGGAUGAAGGUCCUAUGGAUUGUAAACUUCUUUUGCAGGAGGGUAAAGUGAGCUACGUGUAGUUCAUUGCAAGUACCCUGCGAAUAAGCAUCGGCUAACUCCGUGCCAGCAGCCGCGGUAAUACGGAGGAUGCGAGCGUUAUCCGGAUUUAUUGGGUUUAAAGGGUGCGUAGGCGGACUAAUUAGUCAGCGGUGAAAUUUUGCGGCUCAACCGUAAAACUGCCGUUGAAACUGUUAGUCUGGAGUGCGGUAGAGGUAGGCGGAAUGUGUGGUGUAGCGGUGAAAUGCUUAGAUAUCACACAGAACACCGAUUGCGUAGGCAGCUUACUGGAGCGCAACUGACGCUGAGGCACGAAAGCGUGGGGAUCGAACAGGAUUAGAAACCCUUGUAGUCC